RNAcentral lists this ribosomal RNA (2562 nucleotides) under Escherichia coli. RNAcentral describes it as "bacterial LSU rRNA". It matches the Rfam family "Bacterial large subunit ribosomal RNA", at positions 397 to 2925 of the family's 2925-position model. Lineage: Bacteria; Pseudomonadati; Pseudomonadota; Gammaproteobacteria; Enterobacterales; Enterobacteriaceae. The record is from RNAcentral.
CUGUGAGCUCGAUGAGUAGGGCGGGACACGUGGUAUCCUGUCUGAAUAUGGGGGGACCAUCCUCCAAGGCUAAAUACUCCUGACUGACCGAUAGUGAACCAGUACCGUGAGGGAAAGGCGAAAAGAACCCCGGCGAGGGGAGUGAAAAAGAACCUGAAACCGUGUACGUACAAGCAGUGGGAGCACAGAGCAAUCUGUGUGACUGCGUACCUUUUGUAUAAUGGGUCAGCGACUUAUAUUCUGUAGCAAGGUUAACCGAAUAGGGGAGCCGAAGGGAAACCGAGUCUUAACUGGGCGUUAAGUUGCAGGGUAUAGACCCGAAACCCGGUGAUCUAGCCAUGGGCAGGUUGAAGGUUGGGUAACACUAACUGGAGGACCGAACCGACUAAUGUUGAAAAAUUAGCGGAUGACUUGUGGCUGGGGGUGAAAGGCCAAUCAAACCGGGAGAUAGCUGGUUCUCCCCGAAAGCUAUUUAGGUAGCGCCUCGUGAAUUCAUCUCCGGGGGUAGAGCACUGUUUCGGCAAGGGGGUCAUCCCGACUUACCAACCCGAUGCAAACUGCGAAUACCGGAGAAUGUUAUCACGGGAGACACACGGCGGGUGCUAACGUCCGUCGUGAAGAGGGAAACAACCCAGACCGCCAGCUAAGGUCCCAAAGUCAUGGUUAAGUGGGAAACGAUGUGGGAAGGCCCAGACAGCCAGGAUGUUGGCUUAGAAGCAGCCAUCAUUUAAAGAAAGCGUAAUAGCUCACUGGUCGAGUCGGCCUGCGCGGAAGAUGUAACGGGGCUAAACCAUGCACCGAAGCUGCGGCAGCGACGCUUAUGCGUUGUUGGGUAGGGGAGCGUUCUGUAAGCCUGCGAAGGUGUGCUGUGAGGCAUGCUGGAGGUAUCAGAAGUGCGAAUGCUGACAUAAGUAACGAUAAAGCGGGUGAAAAGCCCGCUCGCCGGAAGACCAAGGGUUCCUGUCCAACGUUAAUCGGGGCAGGGUGAGUCGACCCCUAAGGCGAGGCCGAAAGGCGUAGUCGAUGGGAAACAGGUUAAUAUUCCUGUACUUGGUGUUACUGCGAAGGGGGGACGGAGAAGGCUAUGUUGGCCGGGCGACGGUUGUCCCGGUUUAAGCGUGUAGGCUGGUUUUCCAGGCAAAUCCGGAAAAUCAAGGCUGAGGCGUGAUGACGAGGCACUACGGUGCUGAAGCAACAAAUGCCCUGCUUCCAGGAAAAGCCUCUAAGCAUCAGGUAACAUCAAAUCGUACCCCAAACCGACACAGGUGGUCAGGUAGAGAAUACCAAGGCGCUUGAGAGAACUCGGGUGAAGGAACUAGGCAAAAUGGUGCCGUAACUUCGGGAGAAGGCACGCUGAUAUGUAGGUGAAGUCCCUCGCGGAUGGAGCUGAAAUCAGUCGAAGAUACCAGCUGGCUGCAACUGUUUAUUAAAAACACAGCACUGUGCAAACACGAAAGUGGACGUAUACGGUGUGACGCCUGCCCGGUGCCGGAAGGUUAAUUGAUGGGGUCAGCGCAAGCGAAGCUCUUGAUCGAAGCCCCGGUAAACGGCGGCCGUAACUAUAACGGUCCUAAGGUAGCGAAAUUCCUUGUCGGGUAAGUUCCGACCUGCACGAAUGGCGUAAUGAUGGCCAGGCUGUCUCCACCCGAGACUCAGUGAAAUUGAACUCGCUGUGAAGAUGCAGUGUACCCGCGGCAAGACGGAAAGACCCCGUGAACCUUUACUAUAGCUUGACACUGAACAUUGAGCCUUGAUGUGUAGGAUAGGUGGGAGGCUUUGAAGUGUGGACGCCAGUCUGCAUGGAGCCGACCUUGAAAUACCACCCUUUAAUGUUUGAUGUUCUAACGUUGACCCGUAAUCCGGGUUGCGGACAGUGUCUGGUGGGUAGUUUGACUGGGGCGGUCUCCUCCUAAAGAGUAACGGAGGAGCACGAAGGUUGGCUAAUCCUGGUCGGACAUCAGGAGGUUAGUGCAAUGGCAUAAGCCAGCUUGACUGCGAGCGUGACGGCGCGAGCAGGUGCGAAAGCAGGUCAUAGUGAUCCGGUGGUUCUGAAUGGAAGGGCCAUCGCUCAACGGAUAAAAGGUACUCCGGGGAUAACAGGCUGAUACCGCCCAAGAGUUCAUAUCGACGGCGGUGUUUGGCACCUCGAUGUCGGCUCAUCACAUCCUGGGGCUGAAGUAGGUCCCAAGGGUAUGGCUGUUCGCCAUUUAAAGUGGUACGCGAGCUGGGUUUAGAACGUCGUGAGACAGUUCGGUCCCUAUCUGCCGUGGGCGCUGGAGAACUGAGGGGGGCUGCUCCUAGUACGAGAGGACCGGAGUGGACGCAUCACUGGUGUUCGGGUUGUCAUGCCAAUGGCACUGCCCGGUAGCUAAAUGCGGAAGAGAUAAGUGCUGAAAGCAUCUAAGCACGAAACUUGCCCCGAGAUGAGUUCUCCCUGACUCCUUGAGAGUCCUGAAGGAACGUUGAAGACGACGACGUUGAUAGGCCGGGUGUGUAAGCGCAGCGAUGCGUUGAGCUAACCGGUACUAAUGAACCGUGAGGCUUAACCUUACAACGCCGAAG